AUGUAUCGGCCUCCUCUGUUAGCUGUGCUGCAUCGAACUCAUCUCUCUUUCUCCUGUCCCCAUUCCCCAUCCCCUCGUCGAACCCUAGCUCAACGAUUUGGCGGCUUGCGGCGACUGAAGGCUACGAGAUAACCAGAGAAGGUGGCAGGGCAAGCAAGUAGGUGUUGGCGGCUACGGAUUUCACAGGUGGCCGCAUCUACACCGAAGGCGAUGGAUGCCCCAUAACCCCAGCUGGUGUUCCGCAACAAUUGGUGGCGCCAAUAAUGGAGGACAACGAGACUAGAGGUUGCUGAUGAUGACCCUCUUGAUGUUCAUGUUCUGCAUGAUCCUUUGAGUCCAACAAAUCAGAAGAGCUAUUUCCUGAUAUCAUAUCAUUCGGGAAAGCCAUAAGGCAUUUUGCUAUCGUCAAGGGUUUUGAGUUUGCACCUAGGGUCCGAACAGACAAGUCAAGAUUCAUUGUGAGGUGUGCAGCCACCAACUGCCCUUGGCACGUACAUGCUUCUACCAUUUUGAUAAGAAAACUAUACAAAUCAAAGUGCUACCUGCAGAGCACAAUUGUCCUACCACCAAGCUUAGAGAAGGCAAAAUGGCUACCUAGGGUUGGUGUGCAGAUACACUUGGGGAUUGGAUUAAGAAGAACCCAACUAAGGGACCUAAGGAUGCUAAAGACAAGUUGGAGGGUGAUUUUGGCAUAAAGCUAAAGUACUCAAAAGCCUAGUCAGAUUAAUAGCAAGCUCUAAACCAGAUUCAUGGUAAGUACGAGGAAAGCUUUCAACUCCUUUUCAACUGGGUUGCAUAGAUUGAACUUAAAUCUCUUGGAAGUAGAGUACAAAUAGAGUUAGAGAAUGUUGGUAAAAAUAAAAGGUUCAAGAGAGUAUUUGUUGCUUUGAAGCCAUGCAUCGAUGGCUUCUUAGCAGGUUGUAGACCAUUCAUUUGUGUAGAUGCAUCUUGUCUGCAUGGAAAAUAUACUAGAUAGUUGGCUUCAGCUACUAGGGUCGAUGGGCACAAGUGGAUUCUAGAAAAUUUGGACAUAGCCAUAGGAGACCCUCCAGGUUUAGUGUUAUGUUUAGAUGAUUAUAAAGGAUUAGAGAAAGUUGUGGGGGGUGUCUUCCCAUAGGUGGAGAACAGAGAGUGCAUGA
Molecule: long non-coding RNA, 1139 nt
Organism: Sorghum bicolor (sorghum)
Lineage: Eukaryota; Viridiplantae; Streptophyta; Magnoliopsida; Poales; Poaceae
Exons: 3
Source: RefSeq, a predicted model, not a curated record